Molecule: unclassified non-coding RNA, 240 nt
Filed under: soil metagenome
Description: partial contains 5.8S ribosomal RNA, internal transcribed spacer 2, and large subunit ribosomal RNA
Source: RNAcentral
AACAAGGCGUACCUGCGGACCUGCGGAGGGAUCAUUACAGAGUGUAAAAACUCCCAAACCCCUGUGAACGUACCUGUCGUUGCUUCGGCGGAUCGCCCCGGGCGCUGCAAGGUGCCCCGGAGUCAGGCGCCCGCCGGAGGACCACAAACUCUUGUUUUAUACCGGAAUUCUCUGAGUGGCAUGUCUCAUGCAAAAACAAAAUGAAUCAAAACUUUUAACAACGGAUCUCAGAUCGGAAGA